Molecule: ribosomal RNA, 441 nt
Filed under: uncultured bacterium
Lineage: Bacteria
Description: partial 16S ribosomal RNA
Rfam family: Bacterial small subunit ribosomal RNA
Source: RNAcentral
CCUACGGGAGGCAGCAGUGGGGGAUAUUGCACAAUGGGGGGGACCCUGAUGCAGCGACGCCGCGUGGGUGAAGGAGCGUUUCGGCGCGUAAAGCUCUAUCGGCAGGGAAGAAGGAGGACGGUACCUGACUAAGAAGCCCCGGCUAACUAAGUGACAGCAGCCGCGGUAAUACGGAGGGGGCAAGCGUUAUCCGGUUUUACUGGGUGUAAAGGGGGCGCAGACGGCGGCGCAAGCCAGGAGUGAACGGCCGGGGCCCAACCCCGGGACUGCUCUUGAAAACGCGUGGCUGGAGUGCAGGAGGGGCGGGCAGAAUUCCUAGUGUAGCGGUGAAAUGCGUAGAUAUCAGGAGGAACACCGGUGGCGAAGGCGGCCUGCUGGACUGCAACUGACGUUGAGGCCCGAAAGCGUGGGGAGCAAACAGGAUUAGAUACCCUAGUAGUC